GGGAAUGUGGCUUAGUGGUAGAGCGCUUGCCUAGCAUGCAGGAAGCCCUGGGUUUGAUUCCUCAGUACCA
Molecule: transfer RNA, 70 nt
Filed under: Dipodomys ordii (Ord's kangaroo rat)
Lineage: Eukaryota; Metazoa; Chordata; Mammalia; Rodentia; Heteromyidae
Rfam family: tRNA
About the family: Transfer RNA (tRNA) molecules are approximately 80 nucleotides in length. Their secondary structure includes four short double-helical elements and three loops (D, anti-codon, and T loops).
Source: Rfam by way of RNAcentral